This 304-nucleotide long non-coding RNA is filed under the name Heterocephalus glaber (naked mole-rat). Its description in RNAcentral is "lncRNA (ENSHGLG00100051719.1)". The record is from RNAcentral. Lineage: Eukaryota; Metazoa; Chordata; Mammalia; Rodentia; Bathyergidae.
UUUUAAAUAGGAAAGAGAGGCAAAAGAUAGAAAAACCAGUUACAAGCUAUGUCAAGAAUCUGAGGAAGGAGGAAACUGUGUGUGAAGGGGAUAAAAAGGAUGAAAUAUGAGAAUGGCACUGUUGGUUAGAUGUUACAAGAGGAGGGACACCCAGGAUCUCCCCUGCCCAAUGGGCUUGGAAUAGCUGCCAUCUCAUUCAGUGACUGACCUAAAGUCCCGCAUGAAUAGUGGGAGCAUUACAAGGAUAAAAAUAUUCCAGGCAUGAUCAAGCUCACCGGGAAGCUACACUAAACCAAGUGACAUC